RNAcentral lists this long non-coding RNA (769 nucleotides) under Homo sapiens (human). RNAcentral describes it as "non-protein coding lnc-FAM86B2-6:1". Lineage: Eukaryota; Metazoa; Chordata; Mammalia; Primates; Hominidae. The record is from RNAcentral.
CAGCACUGAAACAGGUAUUGCCCUGUUCUUCUGAUCCCUUUUUCCAUUUGUGUCGGUUGGCAUAUGGCAUAUGGACGGGGGAUUAGACACAGAAGUCUUACUGACUAUUGUAUUUCUAGGUUGAGAAUGAAGAUGAGAUUAAGAAUCUCAGAGAGCUUCAUGAUUUGGUUUACUCUCAAGCCUGCAGCUGGUUUCAGAAUUUAAGAGACAGAUUUCGAAGCCAAAUUCUUCAGCAUUUCGGAUCAAUGCCCGAGAGGGAGGAAAACCUUCAGGCAGCCCCUAAUGGACCUGCAUGGUGUUGGUGGCUUCUUGCAGUUCUCCCUGUAGACCCACGAUACCAGCUGUCGGUUUUGUCAAUGAAGUCUUUGAAAGAACGGUUGACCAAGAUACAGCAUAUACUGACCUAUUUUUCUAGAGACCAAUCUAAGUAACUAACUCUUUGGAUCUCCCUUUAAAGUGACCCUAAUCUGGCUGCAUUGAUGGCCAGAUUGUCUGCUGCCUUUGCACAUCUAGUGCUGGUUUCAGAAAUUUAAUGAAACUUUUCUUUUUCCUUCGACCUCCUGAAUCAUGUGGUUCUGCAAAUGAAUACCUUCAACUAGGAUUUAGACCACUAAGAACUUGCACAGAAAAACACGCAUUGAAUGUGUGUCGAACCUCUACAUUGUGAAGUUGCACUAUGUACCAUACUCUAAAAUGAAAUAAGAACUCUUUAUGUCUGUGAGAGAGUGUGUGUGUGUGUGUGCGUGCGUGUGUGCUUGUGGGGGUUGGG